Molecule: microRNA precursor, 78 nt
Filed under: Ovis aries (sheep)
Lineage: Eukaryota; Metazoa; Chordata; Mammalia; Artiodactyla; Bovidae
Description: miRNA (ENSOARG00000022767.1)
Source: RNAcentral
GGGUUGGCCGAAAAGUUUGUUUGGGUUUUUCCAUUACAUAUUAUGGAAAACCUGAACAAACCUUUAGGUCAACCCCAU